This 407-nucleotide ribosomal RNA is filed under the name uncultured bacterium. RNAcentral's name for it is "partial 16S ribosomal RNA". It matches the Rfam family "Bacterial small subunit ribosomal RNA", at positions 30 to 526 of the family's 1533-position model. The record is from RNAcentral.
AUUGAACGCUGGCGGCAGGCCUAACACAUGCAAGUCGAGUGGAGCGGCGGUCGGGCGCGUACUGCCUAGGACUCUGCCUGGCAGUGGGGGAUAACUUCCGGACAUGCGCGCUAAUACCGCAUACUAUUAGAUGCGCCUAGGUCGGAUUGGCUAGUUGGUGGGGUAAAGGCCUACCAAGGCGACGAGCCGUCACUGGUCUGAGAGGAUGAUCAGGCACACUGGGACUGAGAGACGGUCCAGACUCCUACAGGAGGCAGCAGUGGGGAAUAGUGGAAAAUGGGCGAAAGCCUGAUGCAGCCAGGCCGCGUGUGUGAAGAAGGUCUUCGGAUUGUAAAGCACUUUAAGUUGGGAGGCGUUAACUGCAGAAUAAGCACCGGCUAACUUCGUGCCAGCAGCCGCGGUAAUAC